RNAcentral lists this long non-coding RNA (1965 nucleotides) under Homo sapiens (human). Its description in RNAcentral is "HSALNT0048419". The record is from RNAcentral. Lineage: Eukaryota; Metazoa; Chordata; Mammalia; Primates; Hominidae.
AGAUCCAAAUUCAAUUUUGAGUAGUGUACAUUACUUUCUUCACUUCCUUUCUUGAGUGUUUAGAGCUGUUGUUGCAAUUUUUGUUUUUAUUUCCCAAAACUUUUCUCCCUCUCUGAGUUGCUGGCGUGGGCUAGUGUACUGGCCAGGCUAGUGGGUGGAAAUCUUGGCAGAGACAGACAACAUAACACAUUCCCCUUCAGGGAUGGAUGGGCAGCCAAUGGGGCCCUGUGUACUAAGGCAUGAGGCAGAGAGAGGCCUCCCAGUUUGGUGUUCUCAAGGCCACAAAAAAUGGGGGGGCCAGCUCAGCCUACUGUGCAAUUUCCUUAGACAGCAGCCCGUAGCCAUGAGAUCAGUACACCCCUCUGCCUCCUAGGGUCAGACGCAGCACAAUUACAGCAUGCACUUCCUCUCUAUAAGCUGAAGGAUUUUUUUGGACUAAUCUGUUCAUUGAGUCAUCAGUUCUCUCUGGAGCCCUCAUCCCCUGUUCUUGUGGUUAAGCAAAGGCUCCCAGCACACAUACCCUUUCUUGAGACCCCAAAUCUUCAGAUGACCCCAUUCAGGGUCAUCUACCUUAUUGAGCCAUCCCUAGCAGAGAGUCAGGAGGGAUCAGAGAUAUUGAAUGUCAAUGUGAGCUGCCAUCUUCCUAGAAUCUUCAUUUGUUCAGAGUAAGAAAUCCAUGAAAAUAUUUAUACACAUGGAAAGGAGCAAGGGGAAAGAAGGAGGUUGAAGAUAUGUAGAGAGAAAGGUAAUAGAUAGAUAGACUCAGAACUGAGAAGCCUGAGAAUGAAGCCAGCACAUCUGCUGUUGUGUCCUGGUAGAUGUUAGUGGAGUUUGGUUCUAACCGAACGUCAUACUCCAACAGAAGCAUCAGAUCUGUGGAACACAAAGUCAAGACCUGGCCCAGCUUCAGCCCUCUUAUCCAGGAGCUUAAUCAAGUUUUCAGUGUAGCCUACAAGGCCAUGAGACUUGCCAAAAAGGUUACUAAAUAAAGGUAGGUUCAUCCAAAGAGAAGCAACGGUGAGGGCAAUGCAAGGUCUCCAGCCAGGUGGAUGGCAUCAAGCAAGCAGCAAUAGGAGCAAGCGGUUGAAUGAAAUGGCUAUAAAUAGAGCCCACAAACGCAUUCCAAAAUCUAAACCCGGCCCCGUAGUUAUGGCUUAGAGAAAUGUGUGCAACAGCUGAUAAAUAGGUUCUCCUGGAACAGGGCCGUCUGAGGAUAUCUGGGCUCCAGGAAGCCUUGCCAUCCACAAAACGUGGCCAGAGGCCAGUGAAGAUGCUGGGAAAGGGCUUUAGGAACCACGCUGACCAGGCUUAUAGGGGAAGAGCAUUACUGUCCACCUCAUAGGGUUCUCGGGGGGAUUUAGUGAGCUAUGCACAUUAGGGGUUAGAACGGGGUCCACACAUUGGAAACACUCUGUCAAUGUCGCCUGUUUUUAAUAAGCAUUAACUUACUUGCUGAUACAUGGGACUCCGCCUGCCUCCUCCCCAAGAAAGCACAGCAUUCUAUCUCUGCAUAAGAAGCUUUAUAGGACGGCAUCCUUCCUCUUCCACAGUUUUCACAGCCAUGGUCUCUAACCUAUGUCUGACAGUCCAUCUUAAUAUUACUUUUUGUUUUCAGCUUUUUACACAUUCAAUAAAAAAGAAAGCGAGGAUCCACAAAGAACAGGACAGGAAAGGGGGUUGUUUCUCAAUCUAUCAGGAAGAAACCAGAGACUUGCAAAUUGGUCUCCUUGGACCGAUUAAUCAUGCCAGCUUCAGCAUUUGAUUGUUAUUCUGAACAAUUCAUGGUCCAAUUAGAGGUUUAUGCAUUUACACUGAGAAAUACAUGACGUCAUUUAGAGCCAUUCUGGCACAGGAAGGCCAGGCGGCCUCUCACCUUUGUAUUCUGCCAGGCACACACACUCAUAGCCAUUAACGAGGUCCCUGCAGGUGGCUGCAUUCAGGCAUGGAGCGGAGAGGCACUCAUUA